GAUGAUGUAGCUCACGUGGUAGAGUGCUCGCUUUGCAUCCGAGAGGUACGGGGUUUGAUACCCCGCAUCUCCA
Non-coding RNA from Picea glauca (white spruce), 73 nucleotides. Lineage: Eukaryota; Viridiplantae; Streptophyta; Pinopsida; Pinales; Pinaceae. The record is from Rfam.